UUCCCCAUAAUUCCCCAUAAUCUUUUCUCUUUCAAACGAUUGAGACCCUUCAUUUCAUUAGCUACUUUCUCUUUCAGACAAGAUGAAGGCUUUGAAGGAACAGCGAUGCGAGCGAGAGCCUCCUGUUGACGUUGACGUUGACGAUGACGACUUUGCUGGACUCGCUUGCCCUCUCGACGACCUUGAAGCUGCCGUCAUCCUUGAAAGUGAAACCACGACUUUCGAUCCCUUCUUGUUCGACAACGUCAAACUUGAUGACCACAACAUGGCAAUUCAAGAGAACCCCAAGAAACCACCAUCCCACGGCAAAGGGAAGAAGUUGGAGACCCUCCGCUUGGUGCUAUGCACACCACCUCCAUCUUCUUGUCAACAAAACCCUACGGGGCCAACAAAAUCUGAUGCUCACCAUCAACGGCAACACUGGGAUGAUGAAGAGAAAUUGGAGAAUAGCAAGCGAAAGCUUCACCAAGGCUAUCAGGAGUUCCAAAGCAAGAGAAAGAAAAUUCAACUUCUUGACGUCAAGAACUUGCCUUUGCCGUCUAAGCCUCAGCGAGGCCGGGUUUUGAGCGAGAACAAGCAGUUGAUCAGUUUGAGGAAGUGCCCAGAGCCUUCUGAUUUUUCGGAGAGCCAACAAAACCCUAAGGGGCUCACAAAAUCUACUGAUCAUGAUCUUCAUCAUCGGCAAGAUUGGGAUGAUGAAGAGAAGUUGGAGACUAGUGUUCAAAAGCUUCACCAAGGCUAUCAAGAGUUCCAAAACAAGCGAAAGAAAAUUCAAAUUAUUGACAUCAAGAACUUGCCUUUGCCGUCUAAGCCAGGACGAGGUCGGGUUUUGACAAAGAACAAGUUUCUGACUAGCUCCAGGAAGUGCCGAGCCUUCUGAUUUCUUGGAUAUCAGAUCCUCUCUAUCUCUCCGAUUUCUUAACCACAAAAUGAUUAUAAGUACGUGGGGUUUUGUGACAGCAAUGCCAACCAAUAUUCCUAGUGCUUUGAUAGACAAGGGUCAGAGCCGAGUUAUAGAUGUUCCUAGUGCUAAAGGUGACCAAAGAUGACUAUUCAGUCAUUUUUCAUGACAACUUCAUUGGGGACGAGGACAAGGGAGGCAGAGUGGCUCAUGUACAGUAUGCAAAUGAACAUGGUCUCAUGGAGUGUGAAGCCUUUGAUUCAAGAUAUUUGGCAGUUAGCCUCCUUGUGUGAUUCCGUCCAGUUUAGCCAUGUGUUUAGUGAAGCUAAUUUCUUAGCUGAUGCUCUAGCAAACUUAGGCCAUGGGAUCUCCUUCUCAUCUUUGAGAAUUUGGCCUCCCUUUUUCUGUCGCCUCUGCUUUUUAUUUCAACCUCUUUGGGCUUGCGUGCUCUAGAGGUUUUAGUUUGUAAUUUUACGUUGUAACAUU
RNA transcript from Prunus persica (peach), 1387 nucleotides. RefSeq lists it as uncharacterized. NCBI's taxonomy places the organism in Eukaryota, Viridiplantae, Streptophyta, Magnoliopsida, Rosales, Rosaceae. The transcript is spliced from 4 exons. The record is from RefSeq and is a predicted model, not a curated record.